CUACGGGCCGCUGCAGUGGGGAAUCUUAGACAAUGGGCGCAAGCCUGAUCUAGCCAUGCCGCGUGAGUGAUGAAGGCCUUAGGGUUGUAAAGCUCUUUCAGAUGGGAAGAUAAUGACGGUACCAUCAGAAGAAGCCCCGGCUAACUCCGUGCCAGCAGCCGCGGUAAUACGGAGGGGGCUAGCGUUGUUCGGAAUUACUGGGCGUAAAGCGCACGUAGGCGGAUUGGAAAGUCAGAGGUGAAAUCCCAGGGCUCAACCUUGGAACUGCCUUUGAAACUAUCAGUCUGGAGUUCGAGAGAGGUGAGUGGAAUUCCGAGUGUAGAGGUGAAAUUCGUAGAUAUUCGGAGGAACACCAGUGGCGAAGGCGGCUCACUGGCUCGAUACUGACGCUGAGGUGCGAAAGCGUGGGGAGCAAACAGGAUUAGAUACCCCCGUAGUC
Molecule: ribosomal RNA, 439 nt
Filed under: uncultured bacterium
Lineage: Bacteria
Description: partial 16S ribosomal RNA
Rfam family: Bacterial small subunit ribosomal RNA
Source: RNAcentral